RNAcentral lists this ribosomal RNA (465 nucleotides) under uncultured bacterium. RNAcentral's name for it is "partial 16S ribosomal RNA". It matches the Rfam family "Bacterial small subunit ribosomal RNA", at positions 338 to 795 of the family's 1533-position model. The record is from RNAcentral.
CCUACGGGUGGCAGCAGUGGGGAAUUUUGCGCAAUGCUCGUAAGAGUGACGCAGCGACGCCGCGUGAAUGACGAAUGCCUUCGGGUCGUAAAGUUCUUUCGACAGGGAAGAAAAUUCCUAUAAGUAACUGUGUAUGUAUUGACGGUACCUGUAUAAGCCGCCCCGGCUAACUCCGUGCCAGCAGCCGCGGUAAUACGGAGGGGGCGAGCGUUGUUCGGAUUGACUGGGCGUAAAGAGCACGUAGGCGGUGUUGUAAGUCAUUAGUCAAAGACUAGAGCUCAACUGUAGAAAGGCUAGUGAUACUAUAAUACUAGAGUAUAGGAGAGGAGGGCAGAAUUCGUGGUGUAGCGGUGAAAUGCGUAGAUAUCAGGAGGAAUACCGUUAGCGAAGGCGGCAAUCUGGAUGGAAACUGACGCUGAGGUGCGAAAGCGUGGGUAGCAAACAGGAUUAGAUACCCUAGUAGUC